This 298-nucleotide unclassified non-coding RNA is filed under the name Hevea brasiliensis (rubber tree). Lineage: Eukaryota; Viridiplantae; Streptophyta; Magnoliopsida; Malpighiales; Euphorbiaceae. The record is from RNAcentral.
UGGAGUAUGAGGAAUUUCCAACAGGUUCCCAGAAGCCAAGUCUAAAAAAUUCAUAUAGGAUCUAGACACCAUCACUCAUUAAGAUAGCACGCUUCCCACCACAAAUAGCUUGCCCACAGACCUUACGAUUAAUAAACCGAUGACCGGAGGCGCAUAGAAUUAGGUGAAAAACCGGCGAGUUUAGAUUAGCUAUUAGGUAUAAAAAAAGAGGACGAAACUUAAGAAGCUUGAUAAAGACAUAGGAAAUGGAAGCUGUGUUUGAUUUCCAAUAGAGAUGAAGAGAGAGAGAGGAAAAAUG